GAAAUAAACUAAAAUGAACUUCUAAUUCAUUAAAUAUGAAAAUUAUACUUCAUAUUAUUUCU
This 62-nucleotide transfer RNA is filed under the name Vollenhovia emeryi. RNAcentral describes it as "tRNA-Ser". Lineage: Eukaryota; Metazoa; Arthropoda; Insecta; Hymenoptera; Formicidae. The record is from RNAcentral.